RNAcentral lists this ribosomal RNA (1369 nucleotides) under uncultured bacterium. Its description in RNAcentral is "16S ribosomal RNA". It matches the Rfam family "Bacterial small subunit ribosomal RNA", at positions 8 to 1372 of the family's 1533-position model. The record is from RNAcentral.
AGAGUUUGAUCUUGGCUCAAGAUGAACGCUGGCGGCGUGCCUAACACAUGCAAGUCAAACGAAGCGCUGGGGCGGAAUUUUUUCGGAAAGGAAGCCCCUGUGACUGAGUGGCGGACGGGUGAGUAACGCGUGGACAACCUACCCCGCACUGGGGGACAACAGCCGGAAACGGCUGCUAAUACCGCAUAUGCGCACGGCCCCGCAUGGGGCUGUGCGGAAAGCACUGGCGGUGCGGGAUGGGUCCGCGUCUGAUUAGCUUGUUGGCGGGGUAACGGCCCACCAAGGCGACGAUCAGGAGCCGGCCUGAGAGGGUGGGACGGCCACAUUGGGACUGAGACACGGCCCAGACUCCUACGGGAGGCAGCAGAGGGGGAUAUUGCACAAUGGGGGCAACCCUGAUGCAGCGACGCCGCGUGAGCGAUGGAGUACUUCGGUAUGUAAAGCUCUGUCAGCAGGGAAGACAUUGACGGUACCUGACCAAGAAGCCCCGGCUAAAUACGUGCCAGCCGCCGCGGUAAUACGUAUGGGGCAAGCGUUAUCCGGAUUUACUGGGUGUAAAGGGAGCGUAGGCGGCAGGGCAAGCCUGAUGUGAAAGCCCGGGGCUCAACCCCGGGACUGCAUUGGGAACUGCCCCGCUCGAGUGCCGGAGGGGCAGGCGGAAUUCCUAGUGUAGCGGUGAAAUGCGUAGAUAUUAGGAGGAACACCAGUGGCGAAGGCGGCCUGCUGGACGGUGACUGACGCUGAGGCUCGAAAGCGUGGGGAGCAAACAGGAUUAGAUACCCUGGUAGUCCACGCCGUAAACGAUGAAUAAUAGGUGUCAGGGGGCAUGGCUCCGCGGUGCAGCAGCAAAUGCAGUAAGUAUUCUACGUGGGGAGUACGUUCGCAAGAAAGAAACUAAAAGGAAUUGACGGGGACCCGCACAAGCUGUGGAGCAUGUGGUUUAAUUUUAAGCAACGCGAAGAGCGUUACCAAGCCUUGACAUCCUGCUCGGCAGCAUAUGUAACGUAUGUUCCGUUUUUGGGCGGCGGAGACAGAUUGUGCAUGGUUGUCUUCAGUUGGAGUCGUGAGAUGUUGUGUGAAGUCACGCGACGAGCGCAACCCUUACCCCCAGUAGCCAGCGCGCAAGGGCGGGCACUCUGUGGGGACUGCCGGGGACAACAUGGAGGAAGGAGGGGAUGACGUCAAAUCAUCAUGCCCUUUAUGGCGUGGGCUACACAGGUGAUACAAUGGUGUUAACAGAGGGAUGGGAUGAUGCGACGGGGAGCGAACCCCAGAAACAGCGCCCCAGUUCGGAUUGCAGCUUGCUAAUAGAUUGCAAGAAUCCGGAAUGAGUAGUAAUCGCGGAUCAGAAUGAAGCGGUGAAUAAGUU